This 519-nucleotide ribosomal RNA is filed under the name uncultured bacterium. Its description in RNAcentral is "bacterial SSU rRNA". It matches the Rfam family "Bacterial small subunit ribosomal RNA", at positions 96 to 610 of the family's 1533-position model. The record is from RNAcentral.
UGGCGACGGGUGAGUAAGCUUAGGAAUCUGCCUAUUAAUGGGGGACAACAAUUCGAAAGGAUUGCUAAUACCGCAUACGCCCUACGGGGGAAAGCAGGGGACUCGUAAGAGCCUUGCGUUAAUAGAUGAGCCUAAGUCGGAUUAGCUAGUUGGUGGGGUAAAGGCCUACCAAGGCGACGAUCUGUAGCGGGUCUGAGAGGAUGAUCCGCCACACUGGGACUGAGACACGGCCCAGACUCCUACGGGAGGCAGCAGUGGGGAAUAUUGGACAAUGGGGGGAACCCUGAUCCAGCCAUGCCGCGUGUGUGAAGAAGGUCGUAAGACUGUAAAGCACUUUAAGCGAGGAGGAGGGUAACUAUGCUAAUACCAUGGUUUAUCGGACGCUACUCGCAGAAUAAGCACCGGCUAACUCUGUGCCAGCAGCCGCGGUAAUACAGAGGGUGCGAGCGUUAAUCGGAAUUACUGGGCGUAAAGCGCGCGUAGGUGGCAAAUUAAGUCGGAUGUGAAAUCCCCGAGCUC